AAUAGCGACGCGACGCAAGUUGCAGUGGAACGAAAAUCCGUUGGUUUCACAGGACCGUGAGGGUUCGAAUCCCUCUAUCCCCAGCGAGACAAUUUAGUUAACCCAUUCAGGUUGUUUAAAUCCACAUAAUUCG
Molecule: transfer RNA, 133 nt
Filed under: Polystichopsis chaerophylloides
Lineage: Eukaryota; Viridiplantae; Streptophyta; Polypodiopsida; Polypodiales; Dryopteridaceae
Description: partial tRNA-Leu
Source: RNAcentral